This 301-nucleotide ribosomal RNA is filed under the name uncultured bacterium. Its description in RNAcentral is "partial 16S ribosomal RNA". It matches the Rfam family "Bacterial small subunit ribosomal RNA", at positions 512 to 808 of the family's 1533-position model. The record is from RNAcentral.
CAUAGCCGCGGUAAGACAGAGGAUGCAAGCGUUAUCCGGAAUGAUUGGGCGUAAAGGGCUCGCAGGCGGUUUCUUAAGUCUGAUGUGAAAGCCCCCGGCUCAACCGGGGAGGGUCAUUGGGAACUGGGAAACUUGAGUGCAGAAGAGGAGAGUGGAAUUCCACGUGUAGCGGUGAAAUGCGUAGAGAUGUGGUGGAACACCAGUGGCGAAGGCGACUCUCUGGUCUGUAACUGACGCUGAGGAGCGAAAGCGUGGGGAGCGAACAGGAUUAGAUACCCCCGUAGUCCCUGUCUCUUAUACC